RNAcentral lists this ribosomal RNA (430 nucleotides) under uncultured bacterium. RNAcentral's name for it is "partial 16S ribosomal RNA". It matches the Rfam family "Bacterial small subunit ribosomal RNA", at positions 29 to 506 of the family's 1533-position model. The record is from RNAcentral.
AACGAACGCUGGCGGCAGGCUUAACACAUGCAAGUCGAACGCCCCGCAAGGGGAGUGGCAGACGGGUGAGUAACGCGUGGGAACAUACCCUUUCCUGCGGAAUAGCUCCGGGAAACUGGAAUUAAUACCGCAUACGCCCUACGGGGGAAAGAUUUAUCGGGGAAGGAUUGGCCCGCGUUGGAUUAGCUAGUUGGUGGGGUAAAGGCCUACCAAGGCGACGAUCCAUAGCUGGUCUGAGAGGAUGAUCAGCCACAUUGGGACUGAGACACGGCCCAAACUCCUACGGGAGGCAGCAGUGGGGAAUAUGGGACAAUGGGCGCAAGCCUGAUCCAGCCAGGCCGCGUGAGUGAUGAAGGCCUUAGGGUUGUAAAGCUCUUUCACCGAUGAAGAUAAUGACGGUAGUCGGAGAAGAAGCCCCGGCUAACUUCGU